CGACCGCGUGAACGAUGAAGGCCUUCGGGUCGUAAAGUUCUGUUGUUAGGGAAGAACAAGUACCAGAGUAACUGCUGGUACCUUGACGGUACCUAACCAGAAAGCCACGGCUAACUACGUGCCAGCAGCCGCGGUAAUACGUAGGUGGCAAGCGUUGUCCGGAAUUAUUGGGCGUAAAGCGCGCGCAGGCGGUUUCUUAAGUCUGAUGUGAAAGCCCACGGCUCAACCGUGGAGGGUCAUUGGAAACUGGGAAACUUGAGUGCAGAAGAGGAGAGUGGAAUUCCACGUGUAGCGGUGAAAUGCGUAGAGAUGUGGAGGAACACCAGUGGCGAAGGCGACUCUCUGGUCUGUAACUGACGCUGAGGCGCGAAAGCGUGGGGAGCGAACAGGAUUAGAUACCCUGGUAGUCCACGCCGUAAACGAUGAGUGCUAAGUGUUAGAGGGUUUCCGCCCUUUAGUGCUGCAGCAAACGCAUUAAGCACUCCGCCUGGGGAGUACGGUCGCAAGACUG
This 511-nucleotide ribosomal RNA is filed under the name uncultured Bacillota bacterium. RNAcentral describes it as "bacterial SSU rRNA". It matches the Rfam family "Bacterial small subunit ribosomal RNA", at positions 394 to 896 of the family's 1533-position model. The record is from RNAcentral. Lineage: Bacteria; Bacillati; Bacillota.